UGGGGAAUUUUGCACAAUGGGGGAAACCCUGAUGCAGCGACGCCGCGUGAUUUAGAAGGCCUUCGGGUUGUAAAAAUCUUUUCUAUGGGAAGAAAAUGACAGUACCAUAGGAAUAAGGACCGGCUAAUUACGGGCCAGCAGCCGCGGUAAUACGUAAGGUCGGAGCGUUGUCCGGAAUCAUUGGGCGUAAAGGGUACGUAGGCGGGUAAGCAAGUUAGAAGUGAAAUCCUCUAGCUCAACUAUAGUAAGCUUUUAAAACUGCUCAUCUUGAGGUAUGGAAGGGAAAGUGGAAUUCCUAGUGUAGCGGUGAAAUGCGCAGAUAUUAGGAGGAAUACCGGUGGCGAAGGCGACUUUCUGGCCAUGACCUGACGCUGAGGUACGGAAGCGUGGGUAGCAAACAGG
Molecule: ribosomal RNA, 402 nt
Filed under: bacterium
Lineage: Bacteria
Description: partial 16S ribosomal RNA
Rfam family: Bacterial small subunit ribosomal RNA
Source: RNAcentral